RNAcentral lists this transfer RNA (69 nucleotides) under Dasyornis broadbenti (rufous bristle-bird). Its description in RNAcentral is "tRNA-Phe". The record is from RNAcentral. Lineage: Eukaryota; Metazoa; Chordata; Aves; Passeriformes; Dasyornithidae.
GUCUUCGUAGCUUAAACAAAAGCAUGACACUGAAGCUGUCAAGAUGACUGCCAUCCGCAUCCGAAGACA